ACGCUGUGACUCGUUCAAUUGAUUCAAAACGGUACUUGAAGUGUAUCGCGGUAACUAAAGGACGUAUUUGACGAUAGCCAUGCUAAACCGUCAGAAGUUGGUUUUCAAAGUUUUCGAAAUAGUUCCUCAAAGAGCCAUCUAGAAGCUAUACGAGACGGUGGAGAUAAUAAGCUCUACAAUUGGCUAAAAGCUUUUCGUUCGAACCGGGCACACUGUAUAGGAUAGCCACGGAUGAGGCGGGAUUAUCGAGAAGAACCUGUUAGCUGCUACCCAAAACGAAAGAAAUAGAAGGACAAACUAUGAAGAGCAUGAGAAAAAUAUGGGCGAGUAUCCCGGCAGAAACACGUACCAGCGAGAGGGAGGAAAAAUUCGUGGAAUCGAUGCGAAGGAUCUACGAGAGAAGAUACGAAUUCUCUUUUAAUAGGAUUAAUUUCGGCAGUUGAUAAUACGACUCGCGAACCCAGAUAAGCGAUUGACGAUGCAUGGUGUCGAAUCGUACAAUAAAUUUGAUCCAGCUAACACGGUCCUCCACUUAAGUGCAAAUACGGCGCCGAGGAUGCAAUAUGUUGCG
This 571-nucleotide unclassified non-coding RNA is filed under the name Bombus terrestris (buff-tailed bumblebee). RNAcentral describes it as "misc RNA ENSBTSG00005025368.1". Lineage: Eukaryota; Metazoa; Arthropoda; Insecta; Hymenoptera; Apidae. The record is from RNAcentral.